This is a small nucleolar RNA of Erinaceus europaeus (western European hedgehog), 71 nucleotides long. Lineage: Eukaryota; Metazoa; Chordata; Mammalia; Eulipotyphla; Erinaceidae. The record is from Ensembl.
UAUAUAUAAUCAUUAUCUGAGUAAAACUGAUGAAACAUCAAGAAAAUCCCUCUAGUCAAGCUCUGAUCCAG